ACCAAGCUUCCAUGCCUACCAGCACUGGACUGAGCCACUUCUUCAUCCAGCCAGCAAAUCAAUGCAAACCCAAGGAUCCAUCUGAUAAAGUUGCAGAGGCAUCUUGGAUUUACAACACCCCCUGCCAGCCCCUCACUGAACCACACAUCAUCUGCAGCAGGAGGCGUUGGAUUACAUUUGGCUGGAGCGCCCGCAUCAACUCCAGUUGUCCCUGAAUUGGAACUGAUGGGCCUCACGUGCCACAGCCAACAGUUUGUCUUCACCCACUCCCCUCUCUGGAAUGAACCUUUCUCUGGGAAAACAAGAAACCUACGUGCCAUCCUGGGUGAGAGACAAACAGGAGCUGCAUCCCAGGAUCGCAUCCCCAGUAUGAUGGGUUCCCCACAGCAAGCCACACUUCAAGCAUCUCUGGAAAGACCUUCUGAACCACAGGACACAAAUGCUCCCUCUGGAGGACCGGAGCCUCUGUGUUCCUCUCAGCUCACAGGCAUCCAUUCUUCCUGCAUUCAGGCUCCUUGA
This 519-nucleotide long non-coding RNA is filed under the name Sus scrofa (pig). Its description in RNAcentral is "lncRNA (ENSSSCG00045001327.1, ENSSSCG00065017019.1)". Lineage: Eukaryota; Metazoa; Chordata; Mammalia; Artiodactyla; Suidae. The record is from RNAcentral.